CCUUUAGAGAUUGAGGGGUGCUCGAAAGAGAGCCGUAACACAGGUGCUGCAUGGCUGUCGUCAGCUCGUGUCGUGAGAUGUUGGGUUAAGUCCCGCAACGAGCGCAACCCUUGUCAUUAGUUGCUACAUUCAGUUGGGCACUCUAAUGAGACUGCCGGUGACAAGCCGGAGGAAGGUGGGGAUGACGUCAAGCCCUCAUGGCCCUUAUAGGUGGGGCUACACACGUCAUACAAUGGCUGGUACAAAGGGUUGCCAACCCGCGAGGGGGAGCUAAUCCCACAAAGCCAGUCGUAGUCCGGAUCGUAGUCUGCAACUCGACUACGUGAAGUCGGAAUCGCUAGUAAUCGUGGAUCAGAAUGUCACGGUGAAUACGUUCCCGGGUCUUGUACACACCGCCCGUCACACCAUGGGAGCGGGUUCUGCCAGAAGUAGUUAGCUUAACCGCAAGGAGGGCGAUUACCACGGCAGGGUUCGUGACUGGGGUGAAGUCGUACCAAGGUA
RNAcentral lists this ribosomal RNA (501 nucleotides) under uncultured bacterium. RNAcentral describes it as "SSU rRNA". It matches the Rfam family "Bacterial small subunit ribosomal RNA", at positions 997 to 1498 of the family's 1533-position model. The record is from RNAcentral.